UACGGAGGGGGCUAGCGUUGUUCGGAAUUACUGGGCGUAAAGCGCACGUAGGCGGCUUUGUAAGUUAGAGGUGAAAGCCCGGGGCUCAACUCCGGAACUGCCUUUAAGACUGCAUCGCUUGAAUCAUGGAGAGGUUAGUGGAAUUCCGAGUGUAGAGGUGAAAUUCGUAGAUAUUCGGAAGAACACCAGUGGCGAAGGCGACUCACUGGACAUGUAUUGACGCUGAGGUACGAAAGCGUGGGGAGCAAACAGG
This 253-nucleotide ribosomal RNA is filed under the name uncultured bacterium. RNAcentral describes it as "partial 16S ribosomal RNA". It matches the Rfam family "Bacterial small subunit ribosomal RNA", at positions 524 to 776 of the family's 1533-position model. The record is from RNAcentral.